UUCCCAGAGGUGGGUCCCCUAAUGAAUGGUCUUCUCAUGUGGCUGACCAUGCUGUGUAUUUGGAGAGUGGAUAAGGUAUGGCAAGGAAACAGCAGUCACAGAGGAAUGGUCCCUUCUGACUCUGCUUGGUGUUCUUCAUCUCCUCAUGUCGGGCUGCAGCAGUCACAAGUUAUGGCUUGCACAGGCGAAGGCUCCUUUGCCAAGCUGAAUACCAAGACAUUCAUCCUUUCAGGUCUUGAGAUGUGGUUUUGGCUUGCUCCUGAAGGCCAGCACCUCUCAGGAUCGUGGCCUCCCGUGUGGUUCAGCAAUGCGAAGCUUUAAUCUUCAGUCACAACAACUAUCAAACACUUGUGCAGCCCUCCCUGUCAUUGGGAGAUCCGCUGUUUAAGAGCGCUCUCCUCUUCUACACUCUGAUCUCUCUGUUACCUUCAGCUGGGAAUAAACAUUUGAGAAAGCAGUUUAUCAUCUCUCCAAGGAGAUUUUUCACUUUGGGAGCUCGGUGGCAUCCUUGCUUUCCUUUGCUACAGCCCUAAUUCCCCAGACGUGUGCAGGUCUGUGCAUUUGGGCUGUGCCAGGGCUGCUGUCCCCAUGCCCCAGAGCUGCUCCCCACCAGCCCUGCUACGCAGAGAGCGGUGGGGCGAUGGCAGCAGCACAUUUCCCACCACUACUCCCUCCUUAUUAAUGCUGUGUAAUCAGUCAGUCCACAAGUAAUUAAUAAUGGCUCUAAUUGCCUUUCUACUCCUCCACCCUCCUGCUGGCAGAGGCAGCUGUGUAGAUCUGACACAGGAGCGGUCGGCUCGUCCCCUCGCCAGAGGAGAGGAGCAUCCUGGUGUAUUUCAGAGCUCUGGGUCGGUGCUGAGCUCCAAGGUGGUUUAUUUGUCAGCAGCAGUGCAGGUUCAUUUAUUCUUUAAUUUUAGUUAACAGGCCCUCACCCCAAAAAGCUUGAUGCUGGUAUUAAGGCUGUCUGUAUGCGUGAGAAAGGCGAUAAAUACUUGUAUUUGGGCAUUUGGGCUUCUGAAUGAAGAAGCCAAGUGUGCAGAGUGCACAGCCAGCUUGGUCAAGACAGCUCUAGCACUGCUUCUCUCAAAGGGAAAGACCAGGACAGCUGCUUCCCUUGCUGGUUUGAAAUCUGGAGGUCCAGCAGACUUUAUGGGGUGGUUCAAUCUGCCAGAGCACAAAUGCUUGCUCUGGCCACCCCAGCAAAAAAGGGUGAAAACAGGCACCUCGAAGCUGCUGCCCAACGUGAACACAGAGACCACCUCGGUGUGUUAGU
This is a long non-coding RNA of Cygnus olor (mute swan), 1273 nucleotides long. RefSeq lists it as uncharacterized. The transcript has 2 exons. The record is from RefSeq and is a predicted model, not a curated record. Lineage: Eukaryota; Metazoa; Chordata; Aves; Anseriformes; Anatidae.